UACGUAGGGGGCAAGCGUUGUCCGGAAUCACUGGGCGUAAAGCGCACGUAGGCGGCUUACUAAGUCAGGGGUGAAAUCCUGGAGCUCAACUCCAGAACUGCCUUUGAUACUGGUAAGCUCGAGUCCGGGAGAGGUGAGUGGAACUGCGAGUGUAGAGGUGAAAUUCGUAGAUAUUCGCAAGAACACCAGUGGCGAAGGCGGCUCACUGGCCCGGUACUGACGCUGAGGUGCGAAAGCGUGGGGAGCAAACAGG
Molecule: ribosomal RNA, 253 nt
Filed under: uncultured bacterium
Lineage: Bacteria
Description: partial 16S ribosomal RNA
Rfam family: Bacterial small subunit ribosomal RNA
Source: RNAcentral